This 520-nucleotide ribosomal RNA is filed under the name uncultured bacterium. Its description in RNAcentral is "bacterial SSU rRNA". It matches the Rfam family "Archaeal small subunit ribosomal RNA", at positions 345 to 866 of the family's 1478-position model. The record is from RNAcentral.
AACCUCCGCAAUGUGAGAAAUCGCGACGGGGGGAUCCCAAGUGCCAUUCUUAACGGGAUGGCUUUUCUUAAGUGUAAAAAGCUUUUGGAAUAAGAGCUGGGCAAGACCGGUGCCAGCCGCCGCGGUAACACCGGCAGCUCUAGUGGUAGCUGUUUUUAUUGGGCCUAAAGCGUUCGUAGCCGGUUUGAUAAGUCACUGGUGAAAUCCUGUAGCUUAACUGUGGGAAUUGCUGGAGAUACUAUUAGACUUGAGACCGGGAGAGGUUAGAGGUACUCCCAGGGUAGAGGUGAAAUUCUGUAAUCCUGGGAGGACCGCCUGUUGCGAAGGCGUCUAACUGGAACGGUUCUGACGGUGAGGGACGAAAGUUAGGGGCGCGAACCGGAUUAGAUACCCGGGUAGUCCUAACUGUAAACGAUGCGGACUUGGUGUUGGGUGGCUUUGAGCUGCUCCAGUGCCGAAGGGAAGCUGUUAAGUCCGCCGCCUGGGAAGUACGGUCGCAAGACUGAAACUUAAAGGAAUU